UAAUUUUUAUGAUGAUCAGAGCAAAGUAAAGUGAUGAUUUUUGUGUAAUGAAAAAAAGAAAAGCAAAUUUUAUAUAAUGAAUACAAAGUUAAGUCACACCAAUGAAAUUUUCUCAAAAUCAAUUGAACAAGUGAAAGAGAAGGAAGAGAGUAUUUCAUUAAGAUUAAAUUAGAUUUAACUUCCAAGUUCUAAGUUCGUGAACAAG
This 205-nucleotide long non-coding RNA is filed under the name Capsicum annuum. RNAcentral's name for it is "long non-coding RNA (CANN_LNC001398)". The record is from RNAcentral. Lineage: Eukaryota; Viridiplantae; Streptophyta; Magnoliopsida; Solanales; Solanaceae.